Molecule: long non-coding RNA, 3506 nt
Organism: Sapajus apella (tufted capuchin)
Lineage: Eukaryota; Metazoa; Chordata; Mammalia; Primates; Cebidae
Exons: 2
Source: RefSeq, a predicted model, not a curated record
UGUUUAAUUUUUAAAUAUUUGUGGAUUUUACAGAUAUUUUUGUUAUUGAUUUUUAAUGUUGUUACAUUGUGGUCUAGUGAGAUAACAUACUCUGUAGGGUUUGAAUAUCUUUAAAUUUACUGAAACGGAUUUUAUAGCCCAAUAUGUGCCCUUCUGUGUCCUCUAAGAUAAAUGUCCUAUGUGCACUUAGAAAGAGUGUGUGUUUCAGAGUUGACUGUGUGGAGAAUUCUAUAAAUAUCAGUUCAGUUUGAUUGGUUGAUAGUGUUGUUCAAGUCUUCUGUAUCCUUACUAACUUUUGUGUCCUUUUGUUCUAUCAAUUACUGAGAGGGAUAUUAAAAAUCGCAAACUACACUUUUAUAUUUGUGUGUUUUUUCUUUCAGUUCUGUCAGUUUUUUUCUUUUUGUAUUUUCAAACUUUGUUAUUACGUGCAUAUGUGUUGAAUAGUGUAAGUCUUCUUGAUCAAUUGACCCUUUUAUGAUGAUAAAAUAUUUCCCUUUAAUCUGGAAAUAUUUCAUGAAGUCUACUUUGUCUGAUAUCAAAGUAGCCACUCUAGCUUUAUAAUUAAUAUUUGCCUGGUAUAUCAUCUUGUGAACCUUUAACUUUUGCCUAUAUGUAUCUUUGUAUUAAAAAAUUAAACCUUGUAGAAAACAUAUAGUUGGAUGUUACUUUUCAACCAAGUAUAAUAGUAUCUCUUAAUAGAUGAUUUUGGUCCAUUUUUACCUAAUACAAUUCUUGAUAUGACUGUGUUAAGUCAGUUAACUAUCGAUUUAUUGGUUUCAUUUAUUAUUUGUUUUAUUUUCAUUUCUCUCUCCCUUCUUUUGAAUUAAAAAAUUUUGUAUUUCAUUUUAUUUUCACUAUUUCCUUAUUAGCUAUACCUUUUUAAAUAGUUUGCUCUAGGGUUUAUAUAAUGUCUUUUAUUAAUUUUUUCUUCUGUAAUUGUAGAAUCUGUUUUUAAAUCUUCCCUGCUUGGUGGGCUUUUUGUUUUAGAUACUGGGGUUUUUUUUUUUUAGCUUUAGAUGGCUGAUUUGUUUCUUUUAAUAAUUUUCAUUUACUUAUUUAUGUUCAUGUUUUCCCUUAAUUGCUUGAACAAAUUUAUAAUAGUUGUUUUAAAGUCCUUGUUUGCUCAUUCCAUCUUUGUCGUUUCUAGUUCUGCUUCUAUUGGCUGAUUUUCCCUUUCAUUAUGGGUUACACUUCUUGUUUAUGGCAUGUCUAAUAAUUUUGAUUAGAUUCUGGCUAUUGUGAAUAUUCCAUUAUUAGCUUGAAUUUUCUUGUGUUUCUUUAAAGAUUAUUGAUUUUUGCUCUGGCAAUAAAUUAAAUUAAUUUCAGGUCAGUUCUAUCACUUUGAGGCUUUUUUUUAAAAAAGAAUCUAGAGUAUCCUCUGCUCCGGGAUAGUUUAGCCCUACUAAUAAGGCAUACUCUUUCUGAAUUUCACCUGAAUGCAUCAAGCAUCCAAUGAGGUCUUUCCAUUCUGGCUGGCCUGAACUCAAAUAUCUCCCAAUCUUGUGCAAGUUCUGACAGUGGCUCAGCUUAUAUUGCCCCAUGAUUUAUCGUUCCUUAAUCAUUAUUAUUUCCUAGAGUUCACAGAGUUUGACCUUAAACAUAUCCAUCUUAUUGUUUAGCCAAAGAUUCAAGAGGAUCCUCUGCAGAUUUCUGAGACUUAUUUUGUGCUGCUCUUUCACUCUGGUACUCUUGUCUCACAAGUUCCAUCCAGCUGCCUCAGCCUUCCUGAACUCUAGUCUCUGACUCUUUGAAUCAAUGAGACUGCCAUACUCUGCUUGAAUUCCCCUUUCCUGAAACUAGAAAAUGCCUUGAAAUAAAAGGCUAGGCUACGGCAGGGCUCACCUUACUUUAUUCUCUUCUCCCUGAGAUCUCACGCCUGAAAUGCUUCUUGUUCAAUAACUGAAAAUAGCUAUUUCAGAUAAUAUUUUUGUGUAGUUUUCUAGUUGCUGACACUUGGUGGACUAGAUGCGUGUUAGUUACUUCAUUCUGACCAUAAACACUCUCACUACAAUUUAAUUUUAUUCCGUUUUUCAUGACUCCUUUCCAGUCAAUUUUCAGCUGAUCCUUAUACACAAUUUGAUGUUCUUCCAUGUGUUUAGACCUUUCAGGCCUUCCUCAAAUGCAUUUUCCCCUUUCUUUCUAUGCCUCACUCCUUACAAAAGCUAUUUCAAACUCACCUUCUCCAGAAAACUCCUAUGAUUAAUCCAUCUACCCUCUUUUUUCACCUGCCCUUUGUUGUGGUUUGUGCUUAGUUUCUACUACAUUAAAUUGCACUUUUGGCCAUGUAGUUUUGUUAAAUUUUUGGCAGUUAUUUUGUGUGUGGCUGUUUUGCUGAUGAUUAUAAGCAGAAGCUUAUAAAUAGAAAAAACCCAUCUUUCAUUUAUUCCCUUUGUUGUAAACCCACCUAACUCAACUGACUGUUCCCAAUUAGGUAAAUAUUGGUGGCCUUCCAUUGUUUGGUGGAGAGGCAUUGCAUUAUGAAACAAAUGAAGCUAAAUAUGAGAACUCCCAUGUGAUGGACCACUUCCAAGGCCCUGGGAGGGUCCCCAGCCAUCUGUUGACGUGGUAGAUGGUUUUAUAAAUUUUGCAAAGGACAGAUUUGAACUACAGUGGAAUAAAGCACUCUCUCUUUCCAUUAUGAAUUUCUUUCAGCCAAUCUCCCCUUUCAGGUGGUGGGGAGUGACCGUAAGCAUUUUGGGGAUCUAGUUAAGGAAAGUAGAGCUGGUGAUACAUUUAGCUGAGGUUUAGUGGGAGGUAUUUAUGUGGUUUGCAGAUAUUUCCAUGUAUAGUCAACUUAUUCCUAGCUGUCCUGUGCAGGAUAUUCUUACCACCCACGGGGCAAACUUACCAAGGGAUAUAACAGGACGAUACAGAACCAGAGCACCUAUGCAACACGAACCUAUGCUAUGGCACCCAGCACUGGAUCCUUAUAGGGAGAGGGGAAGAAGCAAGGUUUUAAUUGUGCAAAGCCAGAAACUAAUCUCUGGAAGUGUCUAUCAAGACAUAAAAAUUUCUAAGUGGAGGAUUCUGUUCUCAUCCAUUUCUAGUGAAGGACUUCUGUCAGAAGUGUGUUCUAUAUGCAAUGUAUACAAUUAUAAACAGUCCAUGAUGUUUUCUUUUUUGAAGAUAUUAUGCAAAACUAAAUUCAUAAGAAGUUUUCUGUUUAUGGUGCACAACCUUGUGGAAGAACUACAAAUAGUGAAGUUGUCUAUUGAAGUUGCAUAUUUUAUGAAUCUUAAAAAUUAACAUGGGAAAAAUUUUGAUCCACUAAGAGGAAGCAAUGAAUUAUUUUAUUCUCUCUAUAGAAAGUAUUACAACAUGGUGGUGACAUGAGGACAUCAGAGAGGAUGUGGCCAAAAAAUCUGCUUUUUCAUUGAGUCCUGUGAAGCUCAGCCUGCAGAGGGUACCAGAAGGGAAGCUUCAGCUACAGUGUAUCUGGUCUGAUCUGUUCUGCAUAUUAAAGUUCAUGCUAUUUUCUUUGUGAUAAAUAAAGGGUGUUCCACUGC